GACGAACGCUGGCGGCGUGCUUAACACAUGCCAGUCGAACGGAAAGGCCCUGCUUUUGUGGGGUGCACGAGUGGCGAACGGGUGAGUAACACGUGAGUAACCUGCCCUUGUCUGUGGGAGAACUUCAGGAAAAUGGGGCGAAUACCGGAUAGGAGCUUCUGCUGCACGGGGGGGGUUGGAAAGUUUCGGCGGUUUGGGAUGGACUCGCGGCUUAUCAGCUUGUUGGUGGGGUAGUUGCGGACCAAGGCUGUGACGGAUAGCCGGCCUGAGAGGGGUACCGGCCACAUGGGGCCUGCGAUAGGCACCAGAAUGCUACGGGAGGCAGCAGUGGGGAGUAUGACGCAACGGGCGGAAGCCUGAGGCGACGACGCCCCGUGCGGGAUAUCGUCUUUCGGGUUAUAAACCGAUUUGUAAUGUGACGAAGCGUGAGUGACGGUAAUGGGUAAAAAAGCACCGGCUAACUACGUG
RNAcentral lists this ribosomal RNA (468 nucleotides) under uncultured bacterium. RNAcentral describes it as "partial 16S ribosomal RNA". It matches the Rfam family "Bacterial small subunit ribosomal RNA", at positions 28 to 507 of the family's 1533-position model. The record is from RNAcentral.